RNAcentral lists this ribosomal RNA (804 nucleotides) under uncultured archaeon. RNAcentral describes it as "bacterial SSU rRNA". It matches the Rfam family "Archaeal small subunit ribosomal RNA", at positions 15 to 799 of the family's 1478-position model. The record is from RNAcentral.
UGCCGGACCCCACUGCUAUCGAGGUGGGACUUAGCCAUGCUAGUCGAACGAACAGAACUAUGUCUGUAAGUGGCAUACUGCUCAGUAACACGUAGCUAACCUACCCUUAGGACGUCGAUAACCCCGAGAAAUUGGGGCUAAUAGGCGAUAGAUGUAUUGUCCUGGAAUGGUAAUACGUCCAAAGGUAUCCCAUACAUGUUUGGUAUACGCCUAAGGAUGGGGCUGCGGCCGAUCAGGCUGUUGGUGAGGUAAUGGCUCACCAAACCUUUGACCGGUACGGGCCAUGAGAGUGGUAGCCCAGAGAUGGACACUGAGACAAGGGUCCAGGCCCUACGGGGCGCAGCAGGCGCGAAACCUCCUCAAUGCACUAACGUGCGAAGGGGUUACCUCGAGUGCCACCUGAAGAAGGUGGCUUUUCCUUGGUCUAAAAAGCCUAGGGAAUAAGAGGGGGGCAAGACUGGUGUCAGCCGCCGCGGUAACACCAGCCCCUCGAGUGGUGGGGAUGAUUAUUUGGCCUAAAGCGUCCGUAGCCGGCCGGGUAAGUUUCCCGUUAAAUCCAGCGUCUCAAGCGUUGGACUGCGGGAAAUACUGCCUGGCUAGAGAGUGGGAGAGGUCAGCGGUAUUCUGGGGGUAGGGGCGAAAUCCUUUGAUCCCCGGAGGACCACCAGUGGCGAAGGCUGCUGACUAGAACACGUCUGACGGUCAGGGACGAAAGCUGGGGUAGCGAACCGGAUUAGAUACCCGGGUAGUCCCAGCCGUAAACGAUGCAUGCUAGGUGUUGGGUUGGCCACGAGCCACCCCAGU